RNAcentral lists this ribosomal RNA (984 nucleotides) under Vibrio sp. RNAcentral's name for it is "bacterial SSU rRNA". It matches the Rfam family "Bacterial small subunit ribosomal RNA", at positions 56 to 1020 of the family's 1533-position model. Lineage: Bacteria; Pseudomonadati; Pseudomonadota; Gammaproteobacteria; Vibrionales; Vibrionaceae. The record is from RNAcentral.
UGCAGUCAGAGCGGAACGAGUUAUCUGAACCUUCGGGGAACGAUAACGGCGUCGAGCGGCGGACGGGUGAGUAAUGCCUAGGAAAUUGCCCUGAUGUGGGGGAUAACCAUUGGAAACGAUGGCUAAUACCGCAUGAUGCCUACGGGCCAAAGAGGGGGACCUUCGGGCCUCUCGCGUCAGGAUAUGCCUAGGUGGGAUUAGCUAGUUGGUGAGGUAAGGGCUCACCAAGGCGACGAUCCCUAGCUGGUCUGAGAGGAUGAUCAGCCACACUGGAACUGAGACACGGUCCAGACUCCUACGGGAGGCAGCAGUGGGGAAUAUUGCACAAUGGGCGCAAGCCUGAUGCAGCCAUGCCGCGUGUGUGAAGAAGGCCUUCGGGUUGUAAAGUACUUUCAGUCGUGAGGAAGGCGGCGUCGUUAAUAGCGGCGUCGUUUGACGUUAGCGACAGAAGAAGCACCGGCUAACUCCGUGCCAGCAGCCGCGGUAAUACGGAGGGUGCGAGCGUUAAUCGGAAUUACUGGGCGUAAAGCGCAUGCAGGUGGUUUGUUAAGUCAGAUGUGAAAGCCCGGGGCUCAACCUCGGAAUAGCAUUUGAAACUGGCAGACUAGAGUACUGUAGAGGGCGGUAGAAUUUCAGGUGUAGCGGUGAAAUGCGUAGAGAUCUGAAGGAAUACCGGUGGCGAAGGCGGCCCCCUGGACAGAUACUGACACUCAGAUGCGAAAGCGUGGGGAGCAUACAGGAUUAGAUACCCUGGUAGUCCACGCCGUUAACGAUGUCUACUUGGAGUGUGUGGCCUUGAGCCGUGGCUUACGGAGCUAAACGCGUAAGUAAACCGCCUGGGGAGUACGGUCGCAAGAAAUAAACUUCCAAUGAAUUGACGGGGCCCGCACAAGCGGUGGACCAUGUGGAUUAAUUCGAUUGCACGCGAAAGACCUUACCUACUCUUGACAUCCAGAGAACUUUCCAGAGAUGGAUUGGUGGCCU